Molecule: long non-coding RNA, 343 nt
Filed under: Vulpes vulpes (red fox)
Lineage: Eukaryota; Metazoa; Chordata; Mammalia; Carnivora; Canidae
Description: lncRNA (ENSVVUG00000024220.1)
Source: RNAcentral
UGAUAAGCUAUCUAUUCACCAAUUCCAGCCCAUCAUCAGUCGAGGGGUGCUUCCCGGAGUGCAAGCUCCCAGCACAUCUAGCCAGUGCUGGAUGGCCAAGCUUCUGGCCCAGGCAGAGUCAGAAGGGCUUGCAGUAGAAAGCUAUCAGUGCACAUGGAACUGCUAAACUCAACCUUCAGCUCACACAAUGGAAGUCAACAAAAUGAGGUAAUGAUGCUACCACCUAGCCAGCCAUGGAUCUUAAGAGUUUGUGGAGGUAAAUUCAUUCUGUUACAGCCAAGGUAAUUGAUUUUUACUUUGAGAAUUAAAGACUUUCUUUUUUAAAAAAGGAGAAGAAUGUAUA